GGGUCGAUGGCGUAGUUGGUUAUCGCAUCUGUCUAACAUGUGUAACAACGUGUCCACAGAAGGUCCUCAGUUCGAACCUGGGUCGACUCA
Non-coding RNA from Termitomyces sp. T159_Od127, 90 nucleotides. NCBI's taxonomy places the organism in Eukaryota, Fungi, Basidiomycota, Agaricomycetes, Agaricales, Lyophyllaceae. The record is from the annotation of a GenBank genome assembly.